Molecule: non-coding RNA, 1093 nt
Organism: Pelobates cultripes (western spadefoot toad)
Lineage: Eukaryota; Metazoa; Chordata; Amphibia; Anura; Pelobatidae
Source: the annotation of a GenBank genome assembly
GUGUUCUGAGCAGCACGGUUUGUAGAUCUAUAAGUAUAACCCAAACUUCUCUUUCUCCCGGUCACCUUUGUUUGUCUUAAGUGUUUUUUUUGUGGGUGAUUGUUUGUCUAUAUUGGGGACACACUUUGGUAAGUUAGUAGUGUCCCCACUCUGAGUCAGCAGUAUGGGAAAUGUGAGUUCAUGUCCUGAGUGACCAAUAUAUGUACAUGUAUAUGUGUGUGUAUGUAUAUAUGUAUAUAUGUAUGUAUAUAUGUGUGUGUAUAUGUAUAUGUGUAUAAAUAAGAUAGCAGUACUUUUAAACAAAUGGAGGUUUUAAAAAUACAUAGGGAUUAAGGAGAGAACGCAGGUAACUUGUUUUUCUUUGGUUUUUACCAUAUAUUGGGGCUGAUGUGUACUGUAGUCCUUGCUGCUGCCCAGUAGUGAUGGGAGUGAGCGUAGGACUUAUCUUUCUGCAAGAUAGCAGUACUGUAUAUUAGAAAAGAAAUGACUCACAGGUUGUACCUGAUAGACCUACUUAAAUCUUUUUGCUUUAUUCUUUCUGUCGCAUAGAAGUAUAAGUUUAUUACUCUGUUUUAUUGUAAGUUAUUUCACAUGGGAUCUAUGUGCCUGGUAUGAUUGCUGCUUUAAAAAUACCAUAAGCCCACUACACUUAUUAUGAGAGUGGGAUAGUGUAAAUGUGUUGCAUUGUUUGCAUGAUGAGCUCAGUAUAUUUUAUAACUGAGACAAAAAGUCACUUCAUUAGUAUUUGGAAGUUAAUUCCCCAUAUGGGAUUAAUUGUAUAGAAACACCAAUCAGCACUUCUUCCCUGCCCUGUGUGUUUGUUGCAAAGGAUCCAUACUGUAAAUAUAAUUUUUGUUUGAAAAUAAGAGAGCAACAUUUACAUUUUCAGCGGUCCAACACAUGCUUUAUUUUGCACUGUAAACUAACCUUUUUAUUGCAACAGGUUCCUUUUAAAUGAUCCAGUGUAAUAACUACUGCUUGUGUCUUCUAUGUCUCACAUUAUGUGUUAUUUUAAAUUGUGGUAUAUAGCCUGAAUCAGAAAUCAUGGACAAAGGUUUUUACCUGUGUUACUAAGGGCUCUUGGAGACUGACC